UCAGCCGGUACUCGCCGAAUGCANCUAGAUUUUAGUUUGAUCAUGGCUCAGAUUNAACGCUGGUUACGGCAGAUGCCUAACACAUGCAAGUCGAGCGGAUGCAUGGGGAGCNUGCUCCCGGCAUUCAGUCGGCGAGACGGGUGAGGUAAUGCCUAGGAAAUCAUGCCUGGUUAGCUGGGUGGGAACUAACGAAUUAUCGUAAAAGGGAAACGACUUAACUGACCUGAUCAUUACUGCUCUCUGUACGAAGGAGCAAAGAGCUGAGAGGAGAACUCAGUAUCGAGCGGCCCUUGGCGUCCUUAA
Molecule: ribosomal RNA, 303 nt
Filed under: uncultured bacterium
Lineage: Bacteria
Description: partial 16S ribosomal RNA
Source: RNAcentral